This 773-nucleotide ribosomal RNA is filed under the name uncultured eukaryote. Its description in RNAcentral is "bacterial SSU rRNA". It matches the Rfam family "Eukaryotic small subunit ribosomal RNA", at positions 1026 to 1831 of the family's 1831-position model. The record is from RNAcentral.
UCUACGUGACUAUGCCACCAGCGAUUAGUCGGAGUUAAUAUACUACCCGACUAGGAGCUUCCGGGAAACCAAAGUUUUUCCUUUCCGGGGGAAGUAUGGUUGGGAAGCUUAAACUUAAAGGAAUUGGACGAAGGGCACCACCCGGAGUGGAACCUGGGGCUUAAUUUGACUCGACACGGGAAAACUCACCCGGGCCGGACACCGGAAGGAUUGACAGACUGAAAGCUCUUUCUUAAUUCCGUGGGUGGGGGUGCAUGGCCGUUCCUAAUUGGUGGAACGAUUUGUCUGGUUAAUUCCCAAAACCAACGAAACUCUGGCCUAUUAAAUAAUCCGUAUAUCCUAAAGAGUUUACCGUACUUCUUAAAGGGACAAACGGCGUCUAGCCCCGUGAAAUACAGCAAUAACAGGUCUGUGAUGCCCUUAUAUGUCCGGGGCUGCACGCGCGCUACACUGAAAGAAUCAGUAUGCGCUUUAACCUACUCCGGAAGGAUUGGGUAACCCGAGCAAAUUCUUUCGUGCUUGGGAUAAGGAAUUGCAGUUAUUUCCCUUAAACGAGGAAUUCCCAGUAAUGCGGGUCAUAAGCUCGCGUUGAUUACGUCCCUGCCCUUUGUACACACCGCCCGUCGCUACUACCGAUUGUAUGACUUAUUGAGGUCUUAUGACCGACGUACAGGAGCUUUCUCGAGUUCUUUUUCGUUGGAAUUUGAUCGACUCCGUUAUCUAUAGGAUAUAAAAGUCGUAACACGUUUCCGGAUGUGAACCUGGAAAUGAUC